GAUGAAGAACGUAGCGAAAUGCGAUAAGUAAUGUGAAUUGCAGAAUUCCGUGAAUCAUCGAAUCUUUGAACGCACAUUGCGCCCGCCAGUAUUCUGGCGGGCAUGCCUGUUCGAGCGUCAUUUCAACCAUCAAGCCCCCGGGCUUGCGUUGGGGCCCUGCGGCUGCCGCAGACCCCUAAAACCAGUGGCGGGCUCGCUGUCACACCGAGCGCAGUAGCAAUAUCUCGCUCUGGGCGUGGCGCGGGUGCUUGCCGUAAAACACACCACUUAACAAGGUUGACCUCGGAUCAGGUAGGAAUACCCGCUGAACUUAAGCAUACAAUAAGCGGAGGA
Molecule: unclassified non-coding RNA, 333 nt
Filed under: soil metagenome
Description: partial contains 5.8S ribosomal RNA, internal transcribed spacer 2, and large subunit ribosomal RNA
Rfam family: 5.8S ribosomal RNA (bases 1-120)
Source: RNAcentral